AGCGGCGGACGGGUGAGUAACACGUGGGCAACCUGCCUGUAAGACUGGGAUAACUUCGGGAAACCGAAGCUAAUACCGGAUAGGAUCUUCUCCUUCAUGGGAGAUGAUUGAAAGAUGGUUUCGGCUAUCACUUACAGAUGGGCCCGCGGUGCAUUAGCUAGUUGGUGAGGUAACGGCUCACCAAGGCAACGAUGCAUAGCCGACCUGAGAGGGUGAUCGGCCACACUGGGACUGAGACACGGCCCAGACUCCUACGGGAGGCAGCAGUAGGGAAUCUUCCGCAAUGGACGAAAGUCUGACGGAGCAACGCCGCGUGAGUGAUGAAGGCUUUCGGGUCGUAAAACUCUGUUGUUAGGGAAGAACAAGUACAAGAGUAACUGCUUGUACCUUGACGGUACCUAACCAGAAAGCCACGGCUAACUACGUGCCAGCAGCCGCGGUAAUACGUAGGUGGCAAGCGUUAUCCGGAAUUAUUGGGCGUAAAGCGCGCGCAGGCGGUUUCUUAAGUCUGAUGUGAAAGCCCACCGCUCAACCGUGGAGGGUCAUUGUAAACUGGGGAACUUGAGUGCAGAAGAGAAAAGCGGAAGUCCUCGUGUAGCGGUGAAAUGCGGAGAGAUGUGUAGGAACACCACUGGCGAAGGCGGCGUUUUGAUCUGUAAGUGAUGCUGACGAGCUAGAGCGUGGUGAGCUGACAGCAUGAUAUACUCUGCUGAUCCACAACGCAGACGACGAGUGCGGUGUGUCUGCAAGAUGUCUGCCCACUUAAUGCGUGCAGCGAGGAAUCAGCAUUCCUUCUGCGGAGUAAGUUCGCCGACUGAAAGUGACCUAAAUGAUUGAGCGCGGGCUUCAAUGCAGGAGUAGAGAUACGUCAGUCGACGCUACGAGCUACAUUUCUGACAUGUCUGCACACUCAUAUUUACGAGGUGGCGUCCUAUACGACUGAGCAGUGAGGUAGUUCCGUC
RNAcentral lists this ribosomal RNA (962 nucleotides) under Bacillus sp. (in: firmicutes). Its description in RNAcentral is "bacterial SSU rRNA". It matches the Rfam family "Bacterial small subunit ribosomal RNA", at positions 94 to 1053 of the family's 1533-position model. Lineage: Bacteria; Bacillati; Bacillota; Bacilli; Caryophanales; Bacillaceae. The record is from RNAcentral.